AUUGAACGCUGGCGGCAGGCCUAACACAUGCAAGUCGAGCGGAUGAAGGGAGCUUGCUCCUGGAUUCAGCGGCGGACGGGUGAGUAAUGCCUAGGAAUCUGCCUGGUAGUGGGGGAUAACGUCCGGAAACGGGCGCUAAUACCGCAUACGUCCUGCGGGAGCAAGUGGGGGAUCUUCGGACCUCACGCUCUCAGAUGAGCCUAGGUCGGAUUAGCUAGUUGGUGGGGUAAAGGCCUACCAAGCCGACGAUCCGUAACUGGUCUGAGAGGAUGAUCAGUCACACUGGAACUGAGACACGGUCCAGACUCCUACGGGAGGCAGCAGUGGGGAAUAUUGGACAAUGGGCGAAAGCCUGAUACAGCCAUGCCGCGUGUGUGAAGAAGGUCUUCGGAUUGUAAAGCACUUUAAGUUGGGAGGAAGGGCAGUAAGUUAAUACCUUGCUGUUUUGACGUUACCAACAGAAUAAGCACCGGCUAACUUCGUG
Molecule: ribosomal RNA, 484 nt
Filed under: uncultured bacterium
Lineage: Bacteria
Description: partial 16S ribosomal RNA
Rfam family: Bacterial small subunit ribosomal RNA
Source: RNAcentral